CUUUUUUCUUGUUUGAAAAUUAAAGACAUCUUUGACUAUUUCUAUAUAUGGAACACACAUAAAUACUUUAUUUAUUUACAAUACUAUAAAAUAGUUCUUCGACAUUUGUUGUUUUUAUAUAAAGUCUUAGUUUUUAUUUUACAAAGGUAUAUCAGAUACUAUACCAAGAAUGGCUAAGUUUUCCGCCUUACUAGUUAUCGUCCUUGCCUUUAUUUAUUCAGUUAUACCUACAACAAAUGGAGCAAACAUACAAUCAUUUAUAUGUAUUGUUACAGACGAUCAUAGUCCAUGUCUUCUGCAAGUUUGCAAACAAUGGUGCCUUCAUAAAUAUAAUGGCCUUGGAAAAUGCACUAUAGGAACCCCUUCUUCAUCGACUUUAAAUUGUAGUUGCACAUAUAGAUGUAGAACCUAGAAUAAAAAGUAUGAUAGUUGCUCUAUUUUAAAUGUAGAACCUUUAUCAAAAAAAAGUUAAUAAAUUUAAGAGACUUAUAUUUUGGGCUUCAAAA
Molecule: non-coding RNA, 506 nt
Organism: Cicer arietinum (chickpea)
Lineage: Eukaryota; Viridiplantae; Streptophyta; Magnoliopsida; Fabales; Fabaceae
Source: RefSeq, a predicted model, not a curated record